GUGGGGAAUAUUCCGCAAUGGACGAAAGUCUGACGGAGCAACGCCGCGUGAGUGAUGAAGGUUUUCGGACUGUAAAGCUCUGUUGUUUAGGACGAAAGUGCCUGUUGCGAAUAGUUACAGGUAUUGACGGUACUGAACGAGGAAGCCACGGCUAACUACGUGCCAGCAGCCGCGGUAAUACGUAGGUGGCAAGCGUUGUCCGGAAUUAUUGGGCGUAAAGAGCAUGUAGGCGGGAAUCUAAGUCUGUUGUGAAAAUGCGGGGCUCAACCCCGUAUUGCGAUGGAAACUGGGUUUCGUGAGUGCAGGAGAGGAAAGGGGAAUUCCCAGUGUAGCGGUGAAAUGCGUAGAUAUUGGGAGGAACACCAGUGGCGAAGGCGCCUUUCUGGACUGUGUCUGACGCUGAGAUGCGAAAGCCAGGGUAGCGAACGGGAUUAGAAACCCCAGUAGUCC
RNAcentral lists this ribosomal RNA (450 nucleotides) under uncultured bacterium. RNAcentral describes it as "partial 16S ribosomal RNA". It matches the Rfam family "Bacterial small subunit ribosomal RNA", at positions 354 to 796 of the family's 1533-position model. The record is from RNAcentral.